Long non-coding RNA from Pseudoliparis swirei, 1230 nucleotides. RefSeq lists it as uncharacterized. The transcript is spliced from 5 exons. NCBI's taxonomy places the organism in Eukaryota, Metazoa, Chordata, Actinopteri, Perciformes, Liparidae. The record is from RefSeq and is a predicted model, not a curated record.
AUAAUGUACUUUAUAAGUCUGUGCUUGACUUCCGCUAAGCCUUUCAUUGUUCUUGAACCUUCUUGGUUGUGCCAGCGCCGAGCUUACUAUCACCUAGGAGAUGCUGGGUCUAUUGUUGCAAGUGCUGGGGAAGCCAUGGAAUGUAGCUACAGACCAAGUCCUGCCAUGAUGUUGAGUCUAAAGGCAGAUGCAGUGUGAGAAAGUAAUGCUGCAUGCCCACUGAUGGAGAAUGUGGAGCAGCAGAUAUCUUGCACUAAACUGAAACUUCCCUGGUGUGUUCAGUGUAAUCCUGCCAGGCCGGAUAAGUUGCCCGAGGUGUCACUCCACAGCCAUGGUGCAACUGUCGGCUCAACUUGAUUAAAGCUGUAAACGCAGGUCGCAUGGGCUCAGUCUUUGGGGCCUGCUCAGUCCAUGAUGUGUAAGGGCUGUCCCACUGCCAAAUUGAAGGCUCUAGCUGACAUUUUGAGCCCAUCAUGAACCCAGUGGUAUCAUAAAAAUGUAAAUGACACAGGCAGAGUGUCUUAUCAGAUGCACAGCGUGGAACUAAUGCUGCUGUCCCACUGAUGGUAAGUGUGACCUAUCCAGUUGUUAGUUGUACUAACUUUAAUGUUAAUGCAGUGAUGACUCUAAAUCAAACACAUCAUGCUGACGACACCAUGGUGAACCAUAAACCCUGAGCAUAUUGGCUCACGGUUGGCAGUGAUCAAUAGGUUACUUUCCGUUUUACGGACAUUUUAUUUCUCUACAGGAGUAUGGAGCAGCUGGCCUGCUUUCAGUGAAUUGAGACUUCUUUGGUAUGUAUGACUUCCUAUCGAUCUGGAAUUAAAAGGGAUGCGCACUAUAUGCAUGUAGAUGUAAACCCAAUUGUGUACUCUCAUGGCAGAGGCCUCCUCUCUGCUGUGGAAUCUUAACAUUGGCAGAAAAACCUCAGGACUUGGCACAGGUUUAUGUAUUAAAAAAACCGAUUACCAGAACCUGACUUAAGACCUGAAACACUUCUAUGACACUCAACUUGGUUGUUGGCUGUUGAGUGAUACUAGUGAUGCUUUUUGUGGUUUCUCGUGUGUGCAGUGUAAUCCUGCCAGGCUGAACAAGUUUCAUCUCAUGCCACCUGCUGGGAUCUACCUAGGUUGUCAGUACACCGCCAUGGUGCAACCCUGUCGACCCAACCUGAUCAAGGAUAUUUACAUUUAAUGUUGCCGUAAUAAAGUUUUCUUUGUGUAGAAGCCU